ACAGAUGUUAUAUGUGUGGGGGACAGAGGAAGGGGUACAAUUCAAAAAUCAUGUCAACCCCUAUUUUAACUUCCAUAUCACUUUAUUAUGUGAUUUGUAAAGCAACAUGUUUCUUCUGAACUAAUUUAGUCCUAAACAAAGGGGUUGAAUACUUAUGUAACGACUAUAUUUUUGUUAUUUAUUUUAUUUAUUUGUAAAUAUUUCUAGAAUUGUCUUUUCACUUUUACAUUAUGUAUUUUGUGUAGAUAAAUCGGGAAAAAAUUUACAAUUACAUUUAUUUAAAUCCCACUUUGUAACGCAACAAAAUGUGAAAAAAGUUCAAAGUGGUGUCGACUUUCUAUAGGCACUGUAGGUGUUAUGAGAGUUUAUGUAGUACUGUAGGUGUUAUGAGAGUUUAUGUAGUACUGUAGGUGUUAUGAGAGUUUAUGUAGUACUGUAUGUGUUAUGAGAGUUUAUGUAGUACUGUAUGUGUUAUGAGAGUUUAUGUAGUACUGUAGGUGUUAUGAGAGUUUAUGUAGUACUGUAUGUGUUAUGAGAGUUUAUGUAGUACUGUAUGUGUUAUGAGAGUUUAUGUAGUACUGUAUGUGUUAUGAGAGUUUAUGUAGUACUGUAUGUGUUAUGAGAGUUUAUGUAGUACUGUAUGUGUUAUGAGAGUUUAUGUAGUACUGUAUGUGUUAUGAGAGUUUAUGUAGUACUGUAGGUGUUAUGAGAGUUUAUGUAGUACUGUAUGUGUUAUGAGAGUUUAUGUAGUACUGUAUGUGUUAUGAGAGUUUAUGUAGUACUGUAUGUGUUAUGAGAGUUUAUGUAGUACUGUAGGUGUUAUGAGAGUUUCUGUCGUACUGUAGGUGUUAUGAGAGUUUGUAGUACUGCAGGUGUUAUGAGAGUUUGUAGUACUGCAGGUGUUAUGUGAGUUUAUGUAGUACUGUAUGUGUUAUGAGAGUUUCUGUAGUACUGUAGGUGUUAUGAGAGUUUAUGUAGUACUGUAUGUGUUAUGAGAGUUUAUGUAGUACUGUAUGAGUUAUGAGAGUUUAUGUAGUAUGUGUUAUGAGAGUUUAUGUAGUACUGUAUGAGUUAUGAGAGUUUAUGUAGUACUGUAUGUGUUAUGAGAGUUUAUGUAGUACUGUAUGUGUUAUGAGAGUUUAUGUAGUACUGUAUGUGUUAUGAGAGUUUAUGUAGUACUGUAGGUGUUAGGAAAGUUUCUGUAGUAUGUGUUAUGAAAGUUUAUGUAGUACUGUAGGUGUUAUGAGAGUUUAUGUAGUACUGUAUGUGUUAUGAGAAUUUAUGUAGUACUGUAGGUGUUAUGAGAGUUUAUGUAGUAUGUGUUAGUAGAGUUUCUGUAGUACUGUAGGUGUUAGGAGAGUUUCUGUAGUAUGUGUUAUGAGAGUUUAUGUAGUACUGUAUGUGUUAUGAGAGUUUAUGUAGUACUGUAGGUGUUAUGAGAGUUUAUGUAGUACUGUAUGUGUUAUGAGAGUUUCUGUAGUACUGUAUGUGUUAUGAGAGUUUAUGUAGUACUGUAGGUGUUAUGAGAGUUUAUGUAGUACUGUAUGUGUUAUGAGAGUUUAUGUAGUACUGUAUGUGUUAUGAGAGUUUAUGUAGUACUGUAGGUGUUAUGAGAGUUUAUGUAGUACUGUAUGUGUUAUGAGAGUUUAUGUAGUACUGUAUGUGUUAUGAGAGUUUAUUUAGUACUGUAUGUGUUAUGAGAGUUUAUGUAGUACUGUAGGUGUUAUGAGAGUUUAUGUAGUACUGCAUGUGUUAUGAGAGUUUAUGUAGCACUGUAGGUGUUAUGAGAGUUUAUGUAGUAUGUGUUAUGAGAGUUUCUGUAGUACUGUAGGUGUUAUGAGAGUUUAUGUAGUACUGUAUGUGUUAUGAGAGUUUCUGUAGUACUGUAUGUGUUAUGAGAGUUUAUGUAGUACUGUAGGUGUUAUGAGAGUUUAUGUAGUACUGUAUGUGUUAUGAGAGUUUAUGUAGUACUGUAUGUGUUAUGAGAGUUUAUGUAGUACUGUAGGUGUUAUGAGAGUUUAUGUAGUACUGUAUGUGUUAUGAGAGUUUAUGUAGUACUGUAUGUGUUAUGAGAGUUUAUGUAGUACUGUAUGUGUUAUGAGAGUUUAUGUAGUACUGUAGGUGUUAUGAGAGUUUAUGUAGUACUGUAUGUGUUAUGAGAGUUUAUGUAGUACUGUAUGUGUUAUGAGAGUUUAUUUAGUACUGUAUGUGUUAUGAGAGUUUAUGUAGUACUGUAGGUGUUAUGAGAGUUUAUGUAGUACUGCAUGUGUUAUGAGAGUUUAUGUAGCACUGUAGGUGUUAUGAGAGUUUAUGUAGUACUGCAUGUGUUAUGAGAGUUUAUGUAGCACUGUAGGUGUUAGUAGAGUUUCUGUAGUACUGUAGGUGUUAGGAGAGUUUCUGUAGUAUGUGUUAUGAGAGUUUAUGUAGUACUGUAUGUGUUAUGAGAGUUUAUGUAGUACUGUAGGUGUUAUGAGAGUUUAUGUAGUACUGUAGGUGUUAUGAGAGUUUAUGUAGUACUGUAGGUGUUAUGAGAGUUUAUGUAGUACUGUAGGUGUUAUGAGAGUUUCUGUAGUACUGUAGGUGUUAUGAGAGUUUAUGUAGUAUGAGAUUUUAUGUAGUAUGUGUUAGUAGAGUUUCUGUAGUACUGUAGGUGUUACGAGAGUUUAUGUAGUACUGUAUGUGUUAUGAUAGUUUAUGUAGUACUGUAGGUGUUAUGAGAGUUUAUGUAGUACUGUAGGUGUUAUGAGAGUUUAUGUAGUACUGUAUGUGUUAUGAGAGUUUAUGUAGUACUGUAUGUGUUAUGAGAGUUUAUGUAGUAUGUGUUAUGAGAGUUUAUGUAGUACUGUAGGUGUUAUGAGAGUUUAUGUAGU
Oncorhynchus keta (chum salmon) is the source of this 2870-nucleotide long non-coding RNA. RefSeq lists it as uncharacterized. The record is from RefSeq and is a predicted model, not a curated record. The transcript has 6 exons. Lineage: Eukaryota; Metazoa; Chordata; Actinopteri; Salmoniformes; Salmonidae.